GUGCACCAGGCGAGAAUUUUUCUCAAUGGGCGAAAGCCUGAAGGAGCGACGCCGCGUGGGGGAUGAAUGGCUUCGGCCCGUAAACCCCUGUCAUUUGUGAACAAAUUGCUUCACCCAACACGUGAGGCAUUGAUAGUAACGGAAGAGGAAGGGACGGCUAACUCUGUGCCAGCAGCCGCGGUAAUACAGAGGUCCCAAGCGCUGUUCGGAUUCACUGGGCGUAAAGGGUGCGUAGGCGGUCGGGUAAGUCUGACGUGAAAUCUCCGGGCCUAACCGGAAACUGCGUCGGAUACUAUCCGGCUAGAGGAUUGGAAGGGAGACUGGAAUACUUGGUGUAGCAGUGAAAUGCGUAGAUAUCAAGUGGAACACCAGUGGCGAAGGCGAGUCUCUGGACAAUUCCUGACGCUGAGGCACGAAAGCCAGGGGAGCAAACGGGAUUAGAUACCCCUGUAGU
RNAcentral lists this ribosomal RNA (454 nucleotides) under uncultured organism. Its description in RNAcentral is "bacterial SSU rRNA". It matches the Rfam family "Bacterial small subunit ribosomal RNA", at positions 346 to 794 of the family's 1533-position model. The record is from RNAcentral.